This 2874-nucleotide ribosomal RNA is filed under the name Klebsiella pneumoniae. RNAcentral's name for it is "23S ribosomal RNA". It matches the Rfam family "Bacterial large subunit ribosomal RNA". Lineage: Bacteria; Pseudomonadati; Pseudomonadota; Gammaproteobacteria; Enterobacterales; Enterobacteriaceae. The record is from RNAcentral.
UUAAGCGACUAAGCGUACACGGUGGAUGCCCUGGCAGUCAGAGGCGAUGAAGGACGUGCUAAUCUGCGAAAAGCGUCGGUAAGGUGAUAUGAACCGUUACAGCCGGCGAUGUCCGAAUGGGGAAACCCAGUGCAAUUCGUUGCACUAUCGUUAACUGAAUACAUAGGUUAACGAGGCGAACCGGGGGAACUGAAACAUCUAAGUACCCCGAGGAAAAGAAAUCAACCGAGAUUCCCCCAGUAGCGGCGAGCGAACGGGGAGCAGCCCAGAGUCUGAAUCAGCUUGUGUGUUAGUGGAACGGUCUGGAAAGUCCGACGGUACAGGGUGAUAGUCCCGUACACCAAAAUGCACAGGNNNNNUGUGAACUCGAAGAGUAGGGCGGGACACGUGGUAUCCUGUCUGAAUAUGGGGGGACCAUCCUCCAAGGCUAAAUACUCCUGACUGACCGAUAGUGAACCAGUACCGUGAGGGAAAGGCGAAAAGAACCCCGGCGAGGGGAGUGAAAAAGAACCUGAAACCGUGUACGUACAAGCAGUGGGAGCACCUUCGGGUGUGACUGCGUACCUUUUGUAUAAUGGGUCAGCGACUUAUAUUCUGUAGCAAGGUUAACCGUAUAGGGGAGCCGCAGGGAAACCGAGUCUUAACUGGGCGUUAAGUUGCAGGGUAUAGACCCGAAACCCGGUGAUCUAGCCAUGGGCAGGUUGAAGGUUGGGUAACACUAACUGGAGGACCGAACCGACUAAUGUUGAAAAAUUAGCGGAUGACUUGUGGCUGGGGGUGAAAGGCCAAUCAAACCGGGAGAUAGCUGGUUCUCCCCGAAAGCUAUUUAGGUAGCGCCUCGUGAACUCAUCUUCGGGGGUAGAGCACUGUUUCGGCUAGGGGGUCAUCCCGACUUACCAACCCGAUGCAAACUACGAAUACCGAAGAAUGUUAUCACGGGAGACACACGGCGGGUGCUAACGUCCGUCGUGAAGAGGGAAACAACCCAGACCGCCAGCUAAGGUCCCAAAGUCAUGGUUAAGUGGGAAACGAUGUGGGAAGGCACAGACAGCCAGGAUGUUGGCUUAGAAGCAGCCAUCAUUUAAAGAAAGCGUAAUAGCUCACUGGUCGAGUCGGCCUGCGCGGAAGAUGUAACGGGGCUAAACCAUGCACCGAAGCUGCGGCAGCGACACUAUGUGUUGUUGGGUAGGGGAGCGUUCUGUAAGCCUGCGAAGGUGUGCUGUGAGGCAUGCUGGAGGUAUCAGAAGUGCGAAUGCUGACAUAAGUAACGAUAAAGCGGGUGAAAAGCCCGCUCGCCGGAAGACCAAGGGUUCCUGUCCAACGUUAAUCGGGGCAGGGUGAGUCGACCCCUAAGGCGAGGCCGAAAGGCGUAGUCGAUGGGAAACAGGUUAAUAUUCCUGUACUUGGUGUUACUGCGAAGGGGGGACGGAGAAGGCUAUGUUAGCCGGGCGACGGUUGUCCCGGUUUAAGCAUGUAGGCUGGUUAUCCAGGCAAAUCCGGAUAANCAAGGCUGAGGUGUGAUGACGAGGCACUACGGUGCUGAAGUAACAAAUGCCCUGCUUCCAGGAAAAGCCUCUAAGCAUCAGGUAACAUCAAAUCGUACCCCAAACCGACACAGGUGGUCAGGUAGAGAAUACCAAGGCGCUUGAGAGAACUCGGGUGAAGGAACUAGGCAAAAUGGUGCCGUAACUUCGGGAGAAGGCACGCUGGUGUGUAGGUGAAGUCCCUGCGGAUGGAGCUGAGACCAGUCGAAGAUACCAGCUGGCUGCAACUGUUUAUUAAAAACACAGCACUGUGCAAACACGAAAGUGGACGUAUACGGUGUGACGCCUGCCCGGUGCCGGAAGGUUAAUUGAUGGGGUUAUCCGUAAGGAGAAGCUCUUGAUCGAAGCCCCGGUAAACGGCGGCCGUAACUAUAACGGUCCUAAGGUAGCGAAAUUCCUUGUCGGGUAAGUUCCGACCUGCACGAAUGGCGUAAUGAUGGCCAGGCUGUCUCCACCCGAGACUCAGUGAAAUUGAACUCGCUGUGAAGAUGCAGUGUACCCGCGGCAAGACGGAAAGACCCCGUGAACCUUUACUAUAGCUUGACACUGAACAUUGAGCCUUGAUGUGUAGGAUAGGUGGGAGGCUUUGAAGCGUGGACGCCAGUCUGCGUGGAGCCAACCUUGAAAUACCACCCUUUAAUGUUUGAUGUUCUAACGUUGGCCCCUGACCGGGGUUGCGGACAGUGUCUGGUGGGUAGUUUGACUGGGGCGGUCUCCUCCCAAAGCGUAACGGAGGAGCACGAAGGUUAGCUAAUCCUGGUCGGACAUCAGGAGGUUAGUGCAAUGGCAUAAGCUAGCUUGACUGCGAGCGUGACGGCGCGAGCAGGUGCGAAAGCAGGUCAUAGUGAUCCGGUGGUUCUGAAUGGAAGGGCCAUCGCUCAACGGAUAAAAGGUACUCCGGGGAUAACAGGCUGAUACCGCCCAAGAGUUCAUAUCGACGGCGGUGUUUGGCACCUCGAUGUCGGCUCAUCACAUCCUGGGGCUGAAGUAGGUCCCAAGGGUAUGGCUGUUCGCCAUUUAAAGUGGUACGCGAGCUGGGUUUAGAACGUCGUGAGACAGUUCGGUCCCUAUCUGCCGUGGGCGCUGGAGAAUUGAGGGGGGCUGCUCCUAGUACGAGAGGACCGGAGUGGACGCAUCACUGGUGUUCGGGUUGUCAUGCCAAUGGCACUGCCCGGUAGCUAAAUGCGGAAGAGAUAAGUGCUGAAAGCAUCUAAGCACGAAACUUGCCCCGAGAUGAGUUCUCCCUGAGACUNGACGUUGAUAGGCCGGGUGUGUAAGCGCAGCGAUGCGUUGAGCUAACCGGUACUAAUGAACCGUGAGGCUUAACCUU